Lactuca sativa (garden lettuce) is the source of this 1450-nucleotide non-coding RNA. The record is from RefSeq and is a predicted model, not a curated record. Lineage: Eukaryota; Viridiplantae; Streptophyta; Magnoliopsida; Asterales; Asteraceae.
UGGCAAUCAGUGACUGACUCCUUCAAAAUGGUAGACUCAUUCAAAGUUAUUAUUAACUUGAUAUACAAAUGAUAUAAAACCCAACGUCACUAUCAUCAAUUCACAUUAUAGCUUUGCUUGCAGGGACUGGACUUCGGCGAAGUCUGCACCACCAUUACCGCCAUCAACACCUUUUGUUCCAGUCUCGAAGAUCCAGUUGCGAUUUCACAUAAGCUUUGGACAUCUUCUUUCUUUCUCUUUUCUUCAUCCGUUCCCCUCACCACCUCACACCACCCUGUUCUCCCUUUAAAAAUCCUCGACAUCACCCGAAGCAGUUAAGCUUUUAACCCAGUACGUGAAGUUUUUGUUUGUUGUUGUAGUUAUCAUGUUUUGAAGAACAAGGCAAAGCACUCCAUGUUUUCGAUAGAAUGCCCCAGAUAAGAUGUACCUUCAUUUUUUUUUUUGGUAUUUUUAUGUUUGGAAGAAGGUAGUUACCAGUUAGUCUUUAUCUUGCUGUUCUUUUUGGUUUCUAACAAUUUUUGGUUUACAGAAACUUAUGUUGAGGUCAUGCCCACUGAAAUGACAUCACUAGAAGUUAAACAUAUGAUUACUCUCAUAUUUCGUUUUUUUCAUAGGUUGUUAUUGACCAUUUUUGUUUUUAGAUAGUUUGACAUUUCAAACACUUCUUCUGCAUAGCAAGAUUGGAUUGAACUUCUUUUUUGUGGAAUUUAUUGUAGGACUUUAAAUAUUUGUUUUUUGAUGAUUUUAAUAGGAGAAAAUCAAAUCUUGGGUCUUUUUUUUUGUUAUUCUGGAAUAUACAAGGUAAUUUUGUUUAAUAUUUAAGCAACAUCACAGCAGCCAAGCAAAACUAUAACAACAUAAGAUUUUGCAUCGAUGAGCAACAAAAAAGAGGGACAACUUGGAACACACACAAAAAUCUUGCAAUAGAACCAAAAACACAUCUGAAGAGCAGUAGGGGAAAAAACUCCAAAGGGGCAAAUACUAUGCAACAAGGUGAAGGAUUACCAUCACGCCAAGAGCCCACAAUACUAAACAUCAAACUUCAGAAAGGAACCAUAGGGGCAAAAACGUCCAACUCCCCAAAAAGAGAUACAUACCAUAUAAAAAUAAGCAGCAACAACAUCCACCACAUUGGCAAAAGUGUUCAGCAUACGGUAAACAAAGAAAAGCCGUAAACACAUGAUACAUGGUAUAACAUCCUUAAUCCAAAUCAAAUACAAUACUUACCUCAACUUCUGCAUUAUGUUUUGUAUUUUGUGCAUAUACAUAUAAUCUAUUUGUGAAAUUUCCUUUUGUUCUACAUAGGCAGAAGAAUCUAACAAUAUUUGUGGUAAAGAGUACAGACCCCUUGGUGUCUUCAUAUUAGCUUUGUUUUCACUGAAUUUGACAAUACUCAUCUCUACAUUAGUUGUGUUUAGCUUAGUGAUUAAUUUGAUGUUUGUUCAUGUUA